This 497-nucleotide ribosomal RNA is filed under the name uncultured bacterium. Its description in RNAcentral is "partial 16S ribosomal RNA". It matches the Rfam family "Bacterial small subunit ribosomal RNA", at positions 28 to 507 of the family's 1533-position model. The record is from RNAcentral.
GAUGAACGCUGGCGGCGUGCCUAAUACAUGCAAGUCGAGCGAACAGAUAAGGAGCUUGCUCCUUUGACGUUAGCGGCGGACGGGUGAGUAACACGUGGGUAACCUACCUAUAAGACUGGGAUAACUUCGGGAAACCGGAGCUAAUACCGGAUAAUAUUUCGAACCGCAUGGUUCGAUAGUGAAAGAUGGUUUUGCUAUCACUUAUAGAUGGACCCGCGCCGUAUUAGCUAGUUGGUAAGGUAACGGCUUACCAAGGCUACGAUACGUAGCCGACCUGAGAGUGUGAUCGGCCACACUGGAACUGAGACACGGUCCAGACUCCUACGGGAGGCAGCAGUAUGGAAUCUUCCGCAAUGGGCGAAAGCCUGACGGAGCAACGCCGCGUGAGUGAUGAAGGUCUUCGGAUCGUAGAACUCUGUUAUUAGGGAAGAACAUACGUGUAAGUAACUGUGCACGUCUUGACGGUACCUAAUCAGAAAGCCACGGCUAACUACGUG